UUGCCCUUUUUCGGUUCCUGGAUAUUUCUCUGGCUUCGGUUGCACCAAACUCCUUUAGGUUUUUGAUAGGGUUCCUCUCUCUUUGUCAUAUAGUCGAAGUCCAGUCCACCCUUUCCUUGUUUAGAUACUUCUACACCUUCAAGCAUCAUCCCACGGUGAAGGACUGAUGGUACUUCUCCCCACAGUUCGGUAGAAAGGGGUUGCUGAAAGGUGCCCCCUCUUCUAUCCAUAACUGGAAGGGAAAGU
This 246-nucleotide long non-coding RNA is filed under the name Elaeis guineensis (African oil palm). RNAcentral describes it as "long non-coding RNA (EGUI_LNC005999)". The record is from RNAcentral. Lineage: Eukaryota; Viridiplantae; Streptophyta; Magnoliopsida; Arecales; Arecaceae.